Molecule: long non-coding RNA, 767 nt
Organism: Daphnia pulex (common water flea)
Lineage: Eukaryota; Metazoa; Arthropoda; Branchiopoda; Diplostraca; Daphniidae
Exons: 5
Source: RefSeq, a predicted model, not a curated record
CAUCAUCUAGCGGUUGAUUUUACAAUUCAGACGAUUGUCCAGUGUGCCGCUAGAUGGUGUUGGUAUUGUUUUUUAAAUGGCGAAAUAUGUGAACAAGUUAUGUCAUCUUUUGUAUUCGAAUUUUCAUGUUUUACUGCCCUAAACCAACCAAUUAUUUACAUAAAAUGUACCUACCGUCUAGUCAUCAGAUUAAAUUUGGACUCCAUAUUAAAAAAUAAAAACCAAUUGCUCAACCCUUCUGUGACUCACACGCUCAGCUACAUCUGCAUCAUCCUCUCACAUCUUAGACAAAACAGUUCCUUCUUGCCUGAAAGAUGUUUACACCUUUAAACACUUUCGGUGGGGUUGUUGCGUCAUGAAAUUGUAUUUCUGCAUUUCUCCCACUUCAUAGCUACAAGAAACGAGUUAUAGGAAGCCUACAACAGAUUGAGGAAUCGAUAGGUUGUGUGAUAUGCUAUUGCAAUUUCAUCCAUGUUUAAAUGGUGUGGAAUCCUGGAAUUAUACUGACUAUUAGCGCCGUUCAACAUUUGGUCUUGUAGCGGUCGCAUUUUUAGCCAUACUUCUCCGCCAGCCGUUUUUUAGUGGAGAGUCGGAGAGGUUGAUCCAAAAUCCUUUACACUAUUCGUUACAUCUCUGAGAUCGCGAUUCGGCCGCCGAUGUCGAUGUUCAACGCAGUUUCUUUAUUGGAAUUGUGUGGUCCUGGCAAGGAGAUCCUUGAGCCAACGCUGGCUUUUCGCUCACUUCAGUGGUCGCAUCCGUCUGUCGAG